AGGGAGGAGGGGUCCUUCCUGGUGGGUGUACGGAACUCGGGUGGUUUUUCUUAGGAAAAACACCCGUUUUCACGUACGCCCAUCCUUUCCCAACGUUGCCUCGGAUGUCCCGUCGUUAUGCCAUCACGAAGGUGCUGGCCCGGUCCCGUGUACGUCUCGUGAGAAAUCCUGACCCUACAGCCGAACGUGGCUUGGGAAACAGGAAAGUACCCCGUUUCGUACACGAUCCGACCGACGGUAAACAGUCGCAACGGUUUCCCUCGAAUGUCGCCUCCGGAAAACCGUUGCCCCUCGGGGGCAACGUCAUCGCUGUCCCGGUCCCCUGUUCGUCUCAAGUGAAAUUCUGACCCAACAGCCGAAUGUGGCUCGGGAAACAGGAAAGUAGCCCGUUUCGUGCACGAUAAGACCGUCGGACAACGUUGCACCGACGUCCCUAUUAAGUUGCCUUCGGAAAAUCGUUUCAUCCGUAACUUUAUUGCUACGGGUGUGACACACGCGUGAUUUGGCCUUGCAGGACGCCUUCGUGCAAGUGAUCCUCCCGUGCUCUGCACGGGCGGAGGCUUGGUUGGUUUGACCGCUUGUUGGCUACUAAGCGCAUGAGUAGCUUUUGACCCGUGUCUGCCGGUAGAUCCCCCGUUGUACUGCGGCCGACUACCGGCGCCGUGUCCCGUCCCUCGUGUGGCUUCGAAUCGCUGGAUUAAGAGUGCUUGCGUGCUAGUACCCGACCUACGGGAAGUGGUGCUUCGGAUAAUUGUUGCCUCGCGGCGGACGCCCUUUGGGUGUGCCGCUGCGGCCAAAUAGCGCUUGCGGCGUUGCCUCGUGGCGCUGGCACGUUACGUGCCCGCUGCUAUCAAGGCAACCUCGCUCCCGCUUUUGGUCUCGGAUGCUGCUGACGAUAAAGGGUCGUGGCCCUUUCGGUUGCCUCGACCCGACCCAAAGCUCUCCGAAUUGAGAACAACCGGAACAGGAGUUGCCUCUACCUCUCCACAGUUACGUGGUAGGAUACGCGACUCUCUGCGCCGAUCCUCAAGGAGGAUGAGCAAUGCCGCUCAAGAGCGACAACCGGCCCGGCUGUUGCCUUUGAGUUUCCAUGAAAGUGGAAGCGCAAGACGAUGGUCGUGCUGGGCGUCACCAAGGACGUGC
RNAcentral lists this unclassified non-coding RNA (1143 nucleotides) under Aegilops sharonensis x Aegilops umbellulata. RNAcentral's name for it is "external transcribed spacer". Lineage: Eukaryota; Viridiplantae; Streptophyta; Magnoliopsida; Poales; Poaceae. The record is from RNAcentral.